RNAcentral lists this ribosomal RNA (812 nucleotides) under Armillaria mellea. RNAcentral's name for it is "eukaryotic LSU rRNA". The stretch from base 253 to 406 matches the Rfam family "5.8S ribosomal RNA". Lineage: Eukaryota; Fungi; Basidiomycota; Agaricomycetes; Agaricales; Physalacriaceae. The record is from RNAcentral.
CAUUAAUGAAACUUGAAUUCGUACUAUUGAGAACUGUUGCUGACCUGUUAAAGGGUACGUGCACGUUCAAAGUCUUACGCGUUCUGUUCUAAUCCACCUGUGCACCUUUGUAGACUUGGUUAAGCUUUGCUUUCGGGUUGCUUGCUUUCGAGCUAAGCUCCCUUUGUUUGUCUUACCAAGUCUAUGUCUAUAUAAACUUUUGUAUGUUUAGAAUGUCUUGUUUAUCGGACGCAAGUCCUUUAAAUCUUAUACAACUUUCAACAACGGAUCUCUUGGCUCUCGCAUCGAUGAAGAACGCAGCGAAAUGCGAUAACUAAUGUGAAUUGCAGAAUUCAGUGAAUCAUCGAGUCUUUGAACGCACCUUGCGCCCUUUGGUAUUCCAAAGGGCAUGCCUGUUUGAGUGUCAUUAAAUUCUCAACCUCGUCUUCUUUUAUUAGAAGUGCGGUGGAUUGGAUUAUGGGGGUUUGCUGGUCUCUAACGAGAUCAGCUCUUCUGAAAUGCAUUAGCAGAAACCGUUUGACUUUGGCUGCUAGGCUGUGAUAAUAUCUACGUCUUGGUAGUCGGGUUGGAAUACAAAGUGUUAGAGUGGUAAGGAAACUAUACUUAGGAUCGGUUUGGAGGGUUGCUUAACGGCUCCUUCUGCUUUCUCCGAUUGUAAGAGAGGAAAAGCUUAGUGCGAGCUUAGCUUUCUUUCCUUGAGGUUUUGUUAUCGUUUGACUUUGUAGAAGGAUUCAGCUUCUAACAGUCCAUUGACUUGGACAAAUUUAUUGACUUAUUUGACCUCAAAUCAGGUAGGACUACCCGCUGAACUU